Molecule: long non-coding RNA, 244 nt
Filed under: Mytilus galloprovincialis (Mediterranean mussel)
Lineage: Eukaryota; Metazoa; Mollusca; Bivalvia; Mytilida; Mytilidae
Source: RNAcentral
GCGGCACCUCUGUUCAUGGAACUUCGGAAUAUAGGAACCGAAGUGAUCCCCUUUCUCGGAAUAUAAGCCUCACAAUGGUUUUUUUUUUGAUUAAUUGUCUUAAAGCGUUGCAGUGGACAUGGAAAUACCGGGCGGCCUGCGUCCGUCUGAUCUUGUUAGCACUGUCAUGUAUACAAUUCCUGCCAGCUUUUUGUGAAACUUGUAUCAUCAGCAAUGUCUUUGACAAUUGCGAAAAUAAGUCCUG